RNAcentral lists this transfer RNA (94 nucleotides) under Burkholderia oklahomensis. RNAcentral describes it as "tRNA-Asp(gtc)". The record is from RNAcentral. Lineage: Bacteria; Pseudomonadati; Pseudomonadota; Betaproteobacteria; Burkholderiales; Burkholderiaceae.
GCGCGAUAGCGGGUGACGGGCAGCGGCGCGUGCGUGUCCGGCGCGACGGCCUCGAACGGCAGUUGCAGCGCCUGGUUGAAGCCGGGUCCGCGCC